UACGGAGGGGGCUAGCGUUGUUCGGAAUUAUUGGGCGUAAAGCGCGUGUAGGCGGCUUUGCAAGUCGGGUGUGAAAGCCCUCAGCUCAACUGAGGAAGUGCGCCCGAAACUGCAGAGCUUGAGUACCGGAGAGGAUGGUGGAAUUCCCCAAGUAGAGGUGAAAUUCGUAGAUAUGGGGAGGAACACCGGUGGCGAAGGCGACCAUCUGGACGGAUACUGACGCUGAGACGCGAAAAGCGUGGGGAGCAAACAGG
Molecule: ribosomal RNA, 254 nt
Filed under: uncultured bacterium
Lineage: Bacteria
Description: partial 16S ribosomal RNA
Rfam family: Bacterial small subunit ribosomal RNA
Source: RNAcentral